ACUCGGAAAGAAGGUUGUCUGGCUCAGGCCCACACUGCAUUUGCAUGGGCAAGACAGACGUGUCCACUGGCCAGUGCAUUCCAUGGUUUCCACAACAGAUGCACAGAAUUUCUCUGAACGCUGUGAUGCAACUCAGCCCUGUUACAACCUGCAAUAGGUUUCACAAACCAGGCCAUGGCUUUUUGAGGGACAAAUUCUGGACCAUUUUAGCCAAGCUCAGUUGCAGUUUGUUCCAUAGUGACAGCAGGCUCUGGGCUUCCUCCUGCAGUGUGGUAUAACUUUGUGUUUCCAUCUCAUUUCUACUGUGGUCCUGAAACAAUAGAGGAAUUUUUUUUUUUUACUUUCAGUCUACACAGAAGCAAGUGGAGAAAGGGCUACAUUUGCAAAGCCAUUGAAUCAGCCAGUGGAAGAACUGGGAUGAAAUGUCACAGGUUGCUAGACAGGAUGCCUUAUCUUUGAGUUCAGAGGUUUUCCUUGUGAAUGUGCUUUUAAUGUUCAUGGGCUUGUUGCAGUGCUGCCAACAGUGUUAAAAAUAACAGAGCAAGACUGACAAAGAAAGAAGCAAAGAAAGAAUGUGUACUGUUGCUCACCUUCUAGCCAAUAGACUACAAAGGAAUGGCUUGCCAGGAUAUUCACUUUCCUCCUGAGUGUGAUUUAUUUUUCAUGUGUAUCUGAUGUUGCUUCUUCCUUGGAUGUGGUUGUAACCUGCAGCAUCUUAUCAGCAAAAGCAACCUGAGAUUUAUUUAAAAGCUAUGCCAGCGGAUCAGAAAACUCCUUAGCCAGUUCUUUUGAAACUCAUGACUGCAGUGCACAUUUGUUCUUUGGUACCCUGAGGACAAAGCAUGGAUGUUGGAGGUAAGACACUUGGCAUAAAGCAGUGUGUGCAGCUCAAACAAGGUCUGUCUAUCAUGUAUUCAUGGUAGAGUACACACAAGUCAUGCAGCUUCAUCAAAACUUGUAUCCUCUCUCCAGUCACAAAGCUGUCAGUAUUGCUUCCCUUGCUUGUUCUUGCACUUCAGAGAAGAGGAGGAGGAUGGCUAAAGGUGUGCUUGGACACUUCGCUGAUUGCUCUCUUCCCAUAUUUCUACUUGUUUGGUUUUGGUUUUUGUGUUUGUUUUUUUUCCUAGGCCUGUUUUUGUGUUUUUUGCUCCCUGUUCAUUCAUAUCUGUGAAAUGCCCUUUGCAGAGAAGAGGAGAGGGGUGGUUGUGUCUCUGGUCCCUGCACUCACCAGACGUGCUGCUCCUUAAGCGCCAAUGCAGAUGUUCCAGACUGCUGAAGCUUUGUGCUCUGCAUGAAAGAUGGAAAUUAUGCAAAAACCCCGCCUUGGCCAAAGGACCACAGUAAAAACCCUUAAAGAUGAAAGGGAGAAUUUUGGACUUCAAAAACAGGGCUGUAAAUUCUGGCAAUCUUUAAAAAUGUAAAAUAUGUACAUAUCUGUGUAAAAGCUUUCUGACAACACUGCUCAUAAAGGGGAAAGUAGAGUGACUGAAAUAAGCAGAUGCCUGUUUAAAACUGAUAGGUUAAAUAGUGGAGGCUGAGACAGCUUCUGGAAUCAGAAAUUAGUAUGUUCAAAGUGGAAAUAUGUAAAAUAGAUCUUAUCCAAGCAGCCUUGGAUACAAGGCAGAUGAGGUUCUAAACAAAGUGCAUAAAGCACUAUAUGUAUAUACAGUAUAUAUAGUAUGUCAAUAAAACAACCUUCAGUAUGGAAUUUCAUUUGGUGUCACUAUAUGUUUUCAUGCAGAAACUAGCAUUAUGAAAAAUGAAUGCAACUUAUAUUAAGUAUUUUAAAAAUUAAAUGAUAAAUUGGAAAUACUAUAAAUCUUGACUCUUUGUUAAAUAACUGAGUUUUAUCUGGAGCCCUGCAUGGUUCAGUUUUCAGAAUUAAACUAUUUGGUAUUAGUAUCAAUGUUCAAGGGAAAAAAAAUGCACUAACCACUGACAAAGACUGGAUAUGACACAAAUAUUAUGGAGUGGGAGAAAAAAAAAGGCAGGAAGAUAAAAUAGUGAUGCAGACCAGAUUGCCUGGUGAAACAGAUGCUAGCAACAUAUUAGGAAGUAAAGGCAAACUUGUGGAGAAAAAAAAAAGAAAAAAAAAAAAAAGAACAAAGCCAUACAGACAGAAUAUACUCAAUGUGUACUUUGGAUGGUAUUUGGGACCACAGUGGGUACACAGUCCAGCAGAGGUUCCCUGAAGACCUCCAGAAAGGAUUGCAGGGGUGAACUAGAAAUGAGAAAACUGAAUACAGGUAUGGUAUUUGCUGACAAUGUGACCAUAACAUCUAUAUUGCCAUGUGUCCACAAGACCAGCUGGGGACAUUGAAUAGCAGAAAAAGUCUCAUAGGAUAAUCUAGAGGAUGGUUAAAAGGCUGGAAAACUUGCACCAGAGCAUAAGACUAUAAAAUAACUCAGUUUCCUGAAGGAUUUUAUAAAGAUGACUGUCCGUACCUCUCCAGAUUGAGAACUUUUUUUGUUCUGUUUGGGAUUUUUAUCUGUUGGAUAAAGACAUCAGAGCAUCCAAUGUCUGGAAAUACAAAUAUGGUAACUUCAGACCAAAAAGAAGACACACGUGUUUUUUACCAGAGAGGGACAGAUAAUCACCAAAGGUAUAGAUGUGGUGGCUAUACAAGGUUCUCUAUCACUGCCAAUUUGAAAAAUAAAGAUUGACUGUCUUAAGGACAUGUGCCUUACUUCCAAAGGAAGUAAUUCAGGGAAGUAGUGGUCUGGCCUUGCCCUCCUAAGGUCAGGAUUGAUGUGCAGCCUGCUCCCCUCUGGCUUCAUAAACCUUGAAUCUGUUCCUUAAUUCUUUCAUGGAGAGGUCUGUUCUUUUGGGCUUUACUUUUCCUAUUGAAUUGAAAUUAGACAUGAUUGCAUUUGUAGCAUUAA
Prinia subflava (tawny-flanked prinia) is the source of this 2883-nucleotide long non-coding RNA. RefSeq lists it as uncharacterized. Lineage: Eukaryota; Metazoa; Chordata; Aves; Passeriformes; Cisticolidae. The transcript has 4 exons. The record is from RefSeq and is a predicted model, not a curated record.